UAUGAUGUAUGUUGUGAAUCUACUGGCGAAACGUUUCGAUGAUAAUCGUGUUUUAUUUGAAAAAUUCUACUUGGAAGAUGAUGUAAGGAGAAAGUAAGUAUGACGAAAAAUUUGAAUUUUCAUUUCUGAAAUAUUAUUUAUGUACAAUAGUGAGCAUAGGUUUUUCUAGCAAAAAUGACAGAGUAGGGAUAGAAAUAUUUUUAUUAGUUUUUGGUUAAUUUUCAAAUUUGGGAAUUUAGGGUUUAAGAAUUUUAAAACGGGAAUUGAAAAUUUAAAGAUUUGAGAGUUUGGAAAUUAAGAAAUUUAAACAUUUUCAAGUUUGAUCUCCCAAAAACAGCUAGUUAGAGGUCCUUACAUUAUAGUAAUUUUUACCCAACGAUAACUUACAUUUCACUCAAAUAUACUUAGAAAAAAUUUUAACUAUAAAACUGUAAAAAAUUUAAUAUUGAAGAUGUUACUGUGCAAUUAAAUUAACUAUACAAUAUCUUGAAUAAUUUUAACCGUAUGUCUUAUCCUCUGAAUGACAAUACAGUAGACUCUUGUUAUAUUGCCACAAACAGUAUUGCAAUAGAAUAUUCUCAGAAUUAACAAUGCAUCGAUAGAUCAUUAUAUUGUUUCCCCAAAAUUAUGCCUUCAUGAAUCUACAUAAAUGUAAUUAGAAAUUACCAUUACUAUAAAUGUCCCUAUAAAAAUGGCGAUAUAACAAGAGUGUUAAAAAACCUUCUACCUCAAUCUAACGCAUUUUCUAAAUGACCAUCUACUAAACCUCCAAUUUACUAUGGGAUCCCUUGAACGGCAGCGUGGACGACACCAUACAGGAGCCCUCCAACAUCAAAAUAGAGCAGAUCUACACCUUGGCAAAC
RNAcentral lists this unclassified non-coding RNA (863 nucleotides) under Megachile rotundata (alfalfa leafcutting bee). RNAcentral's name for it is "gastrula zinc finger protein XlCGF46.1-like, transcript variant X1". The record is from RNAcentral. Lineage: Eukaryota; Metazoa; Arthropoda; Insecta; Hymenoptera; Megachilidae.